Molecule: ribosomal RNA, 257 nt
Filed under: uncultured bacterium
Lineage: Bacteria
Description: partial 16S ribosomal RNA
Rfam family: Bacterial small subunit ribosomal RNA
Source: RNAcentral
UACAGAGGGUGCAAGCGUUAAUCGGAAUUACUGGGCGUAAAGGGUGCGUAGGUGGUUUAAUAAGUUGGGUGUGAAAGUCCCGGGCUUAACUUGGGGAUUGCGCUUAAUACUGUUGAACUAGAGUACUGUAGAGGAAGGUGGAAUUUCCAGUGUAGCGGUGAAAAUGCGUAGAUAUUGGAAGGAACAUCAGUGGCGAAGGCGACUUUCUGGACAGAUACUGACACUGAGGCACGAAAAGCGUGGGGGAGCAAAACAGG